GUCCCCAUCGUCUAGUGGCCCAGGACGCCGGCCCUUCAAGCCGGCAACAGGGGUUCGAAUCCCCUUGGGGACGCCA
Molecule: transfer RNA, 76 nt
Filed under: Candidatus Acetothermia bacterium
Lineage: Bacteria; Candidatus Bipolaricaulota
Also listed under: 1 other name
Description: tRNA-Glu
Rfam family: tRNA
About the family: Transfer RNA (tRNA) molecules are approximately 80 nucleotides in length.
Source: RNAcentral